Collybiopsis luxurians FD-317 M1 is the source of this 85-nucleotide non-coding RNA. The record is from the annotation of a GenBank genome assembly. Lineage: Eukaryota; Fungi; Basidiomycota; Agaricomycetes; Agaricales; Omphalotaceae.
GGCCGACUAGCUCGGUUGGUUAGAGCGUCGUGCUAAUACAAUUGUAUAAACGCGAAGGUCUUGGGUUCGAUCCCCACGUUGGCCA